Corythoichthys intestinalis (scribbled pipefish) is the source of this 1300-nucleotide long non-coding RNA. RefSeq lists it as uncharacterized. The record is from RefSeq and is a predicted model, not a curated record. NCBI's taxonomy places the organism in Eukaryota, Metazoa, Chordata, Actinopteri, Syngnathiformes, Syngnathidae. The transcript has 6 exons.
AGCUAAUCAGCGACACCUGUCAAUAAACUUUUGUUUGUUUUGCUGUUUGACGUCCAACUUCGCAAGCCUUUUCGGGAAUCCCAGAGUUCCCUCAACUAAUCUUCAUCCAUCCCUGCGUUAGUCUCCCACCUCGCCCUUUCCAGGUCAUCCGGGGCCUCCUCCCAGUGUGAAGCCGCCUCAUCUGACCCCUCUCGGUGCGUAGGAUCAGCGGCCUCACCGCUAAACCUCUCCAGGAUGACUGAGCAUCUUCCCUCUCGCCGAGACUCAGUCCUCACAUCCUGCUGAGGAAGCUUUGGCCGCUUGUAUGCCUGAUCAUAGAAAUUGGUGCUCGAGUCCCUUGAGCAUUUCCAAGCUUUUAGAUGAGAUGAACGAGAUGAAAUCGCAUUAGACGGCAGCAAAGCACCGAUGGAGAAAUUGAAAACAACGAUAUUGAAAUGCUGAUCAUGAUUCAGAGCAUACAUCAGUGGAGGGAGAGAGGGGGCAUCACCUCGCCUGUCACUGAGCUCCCCUAAAUCAUCGCCAUUCUCACUCUGCAGGCCGAUCUCCUCGCCAUACAUUUUUCGGCUAUCAAGUGGCACUGAAAGUCCCACUUAUCACUCGGCGGCACAUGUCCCUACAGAUGUGGCAACCCGCGCCCGUCACCGCCAGUGGCAUCGUAAUUCUCCUGAUAGCUGAAAAGUCGACUCAAAAGCAGAUGAAACCGCAAACAAAGGGAUCGCUCACACGAGCUGAACUUCCUCUGCUGGCCUCCCACCAAGACUGCCCGCCCCAGAAAGCAUUGAGCAGUGACCACAAUCGUAACCUGUGAGUAAGCACUGUGUGAGGAGCCCAAAUCCCCAUUGCAGAGCUUGUACCGUUAACGAGCUGCUUUUCUGACUCAUAUGAUCGCUGCUCCACCUUUUGUACAACCAUAUCUUUCACACACAGCAAGAAAGAACCACUGUUUUGCCCAAGGUUGGCUCGUUCACUUCCUAAAGAAAUAUACCACUGUAAUGGGCCAUUUGGCUUUAUGGUGAUCCAAUGAAGUGAAGCAGUCUAAUGAGAUCGGGAUGCUUCAAUAAAUUAAUUAAGAAGUCAAUAAGUUCCACUACUAAGCCAUGCCAUUUGAAGAGGUUUUCACACCAGUAAAUGUAGAAUGAGCGAUUUUGCCUGAUGCGUUUAUUGAUUUCGGUCAAAAUGGGUAUAAACUAUCUUUAUAAGCCAAUCACAAUAUUAUGACUAAUAUUCAAGCUUGGGCGUUUAGAUGCAUGCAUAAUUUGGGCUUGUCUCUGACAGUGUAGAGUUGGUAUGCUUCAGUUUG